This 631-nucleotide ribosomal RNA is filed under the name Escherichia coli. Its description in RNAcentral is "partial 23S ribosomal RNA". It matches the Rfam family "Bacterial large subunit ribosomal RNA", at positions 573 to 1205 of the family's 2925-position model. The record is from RNAcentral. Lineage: Bacteria; Pseudomonadati; Pseudomonadota; Gammaproteobacteria; Enterobacterales; Enterobacteriaceae.
GUGGGAGCCUCUUUUAUGGGGUGACUGCGUACCUUUUGUAUAAUGGGUCAGCGACUUAUAUUCUGUAGCAAGGUUAACCGAAUAGGGGAGCCGAAGGGAAACCGAGUCUUAACUGGGCGUUAAGUUGCAGGGUAUAGACCCGAAACCCGGUGAUCUAGCCAUGGGCAGGUUGAAGGUUGGGUAACACUAACUGGAGGACCGAACCGACUAAUGUUGAAAAAUUAGCGGAUGACUUGUGGCUGGGGGUGAAAGGCCAAUCAAACCGGGAGAUAGCUGGUUCUCCCCGAAAGCUAUUUAGGUAGCGCCUCGUGAAUUCAUCUCCGGGGGUAGAGCACUGUUUCGGCAAGGGGGUCAUCCCGACUUACCAACCCGAUGCAAACUGCGAAUACCGGAGAAUGUUAUCACGGGAGACACACGGCGGGUGCUAACGUCCGUCGUGAAGAGGGAAACAACCCAGACCGCCAGCUAAGGUCCCAAAGUCAUGGUUAAGUGGGAAACGAUGUGGGAAGGCCCAGACAGCCAGGAUGUUGGCUUAGAAGCAGCCAUCAUUUAAAGAAAGCGUAAUAGCUCACUGGUCGAGUCGGCCUGCGCGGAAGAUGUAACGGGGCUAAACCAUGCACCGAAGCUGCGG